GUGAUCUCUGCCGUGUAGAAACGUGCCCUCGGCUCUUCAAACUUCCUGGACUUCUGGAUGUGGAACAUAAGAUCGCCACCAUUCACAAAUUCCAUCACAAAGAAGAGACGAUCCUGAAAGAGGAAGCAAAGAGAUGACAUUCACACACGUCAUGGUGGAUAUAUGAUCUAGAAAAUGAGACCCUGGGGGAAAAAACACUGCAGGAGAACGCAAUGUACAGAUUUGCCCAUAAAGCUUCCAGAAGUGACCGGGACGUUCAGAUACAGCUGGCCAUUAUUAACUGCUCUGUGGUUUAGAAUGGUCUGUUUCAUUUUUUUUUACCCAGAGAUUCUAGUGUAAUGUUUAAAACAAAUGUGCACACAGAAAGCAGGCAGCACUGUGUGUGGUCCAGCUGUACAGCUGAGUGAAUCUUUAAAUUCACACUAGAAGAAGUUUUAUCCCAAAAACAUGGUUAACUGUUUUUACUUUAAUAAAUUUAAUUCUACAAGGAGAGUCAGCCUCUACUUGAACUUUAAAGAAACCAGAGAUGUCAUUUCCUGGGGUGGAUAUUCUAAAUCCACAGUCAGUGACCUGACUCUGGGAUUUCCAAAGUUUAGUUAAACCUAAUCUGUUUGGCAAGACUUUCUCCAAGCCCCUGUAAAAUUUGAUGAGCUAGAUGUCCAGCUAUGCAAGAUUAGAUUUAAUUUGCUGUUUAAUGGCAGCUGAUGACAAACUGCGUUGGAGGACACAUCAUUUGGCUAAAGUGAUUCCCUCACCACAGGCGCAACCACAUCCCUUCUCCUCAUCCCACCCUCCACUCUUCCUGUGCCCACUUCCAUUUUUCAAAUAUCACAAAAAUACUCUCUAAAGAAUCAACAUGUAAUCAUUCUAAUAAUAUGGCUGUUAUAACAAAAAUUAAAACCACAGAUAAUUUAGCACUUUUAUUUGCACACGUUAAAAAACAUGCUCUUGAGUCCUUUAACAGGAAAACGUUGAGUCAUGUUUAGCGACUGUCUGCUCAGAAAAAGGAUGACGAGACACCUAAAAAAACAAAGAUGAGGUUUGCUGGUGGAACAGACGCUGUUGUGCAUAUGUGGGUGUGAAUUAGUGAGGGGAGCAGUGUCACCGGGUCAAUUCUUCACCACAACUGCUGCUACUCUAUUGUGGCCGAAGGUAGAGCAGGUCAGUGGCAGUUCAGAUAAAACUUAAGCAGAUUAGGAGUAUCCUGUCUGCGCUAGAGAGACCAGCUCAGUCACUUCCUGACGCCCCUCUUAGACACGAGACUGGGGCUCUGCUGCCACCUGCUGACCAGUUCAUGCAAAGCAACAAGGGAUUCUGAACCAAACGAGCAGAAACAAACGAAAGCAACAUUCAACUCGAGUGAAUGAGGGAAUGUCUCAGAGAACACUGUUCUAUAGCUACUCUAAAAACCACAGACAUAAUUCUAUUAACCUCUACUGUUCUCGGGUGGAGGCUUAAAUCUCACAAUGAUUUUAAAAAACCAAACAUGUAGCUUUUUACCACUAGAGGAGAGUGAGGAAAUAUGUUCUUAGUAAUAGUGAAACAGUCCUUAAAAGUAUUAAUGGUAGGCAAACAGCAUGACACACCACAAAAUUUUAAUGGCAUUUCUAAGAAAGUGUGACGUAAAAGACUCUAUGAGCAAAGACUUUAUUCAUUCUGUAUCAGCAGCAGUAUUUUCAGUAAUUAGGAAAAGAUCUUGCAUCUGCAGAUUCCAGCCUAGUUUAUGGUUUCAGACUUGCAUCAGGUGAUGAGGAGGCUCAUUGUUUGCACACUGCUCUUAAAAUAACAGUGCUUGUUUGCGUCAUGACUUGGUCUGCAAACACUUCUCAGGAACUUAAGAGAGCGUGUGCUCUGUCUGAGCUGAACUGCAACUAAUUUAAGGGUCUACAGCCAUGCUAGAGGCUCUGUGCGGCUGCGCCACAGCGUGCGCCAACAUGCUGAUGAUUAGCGGGUAUCACUUUUAGUACACAUUAGCACUAAGCAACUUACUGCACUUCAUUCUGAGGAUGAUACAGUGUUUGUUCAACCAUCCACCUAAUGGUUGUUGAAAUAUUUCAAAAAAAAAAAAAAAAAAAAAAAAACCACAAAUUUCAAACUCAUGGUGGAACUAGUGGCCCAUCCUCUGUGCAAGAGUUUGUGCCAACUCAUCCACUUGAGGUAUUUCUCAGAAUAAUUCAAAGACUAACCUGCCGGUGGCAGCAAGGGAAAGGUCAGACGUCAGUCAGUCAUCACAAAAUUUCACAGCAACGCAGUCAUUAGUUGUUGAA
Long non-coding RNA from Lates calcarifer (barramundi perch), 2267 nucleotides. RefSeq lists it as uncharacterized. The transcript has 2 exons. NCBI's taxonomy places the organism in Eukaryota, Metazoa, Chordata, Actinopteri, Centropomidae. The record is from RefSeq and is a predicted model, not a curated record.